RNAcentral lists this long non-coding RNA (347 nucleotides) under Monodelphis domestica (gray short-tailed opossum). RNAcentral describes it as "lncRNA (ENSMODG00000031673.2)". The record is from RNAcentral. Lineage: Eukaryota; Metazoa; Chordata; Mammalia; Didelphimorphia; Didelphidae.
GUAAGUCUAAAGUUAGGAAACAAGUGAGAAGGAUGAGAGAGCAACAUAAAAAGGGAUACUCAAGUUAUCAAGCCCAGCGGAAGGAUUCCAAAUAAGCAAAGCUUCAAAGAAAAUCCCAGGUUUGGCCAACUGAAGCAACCAGCUUUAAAAUCUCCCCUAUUGGUUGCAUGGCAUAGGAAAGAAAAGGCACCAACUCUCUUGGCUUUUGCUUCAAAAACUCCAAGGAUCAGAAGGAAACCCAGAAGCUCUCCAGUUUAACACGUACUUGAAUAAGAGCUCCAUCUACUAAAUACCUGGCAAGUAUUUUCUGAUUCUUUACUUAAUAAAUUAAAUAAAAGGGUGGGACA